This 406-nucleotide ribosomal RNA is filed under the name uncultured bacterium. Its description in RNAcentral is "partial 16S ribosomal RNA". It matches the Rfam family "Bacterial small subunit ribosomal RNA", at positions 30 to 526 of the family's 1533-position model. The record is from RNAcentral.
AUUGAACGCUGGCGGCAGGCCUAACACAUGCAAGUCGAACGAGUGGCGGACGGGUGAGUAAUGUCUGGGAAACUGCCUGAUGGAGGGGGAUAACUACGGGAAACGGUAGCUAAUACCGCAUACCAUCAGAUGGGCCCAGAGGGGAUUAGCUAGUUGGUGGGGUAACGGCUCACCAAGGGUAAGAUCCCUAGCUGGUCUUAGAGGAUGACCAGCCACACUGGAAUUGAGACCCGGUCCCGACUCCUACGGGAGGCAGCAGUGGGGAAUAUUGCACAAUGGGCGCAAGCCUGAUUCAGCCAUGCCGCGGGUAUGAAGAAGGCCUUCGGGUUGUAAAGUACUUUCCGCUGGGAGGCGUUACCCGCAGAAGAAGCACCGGCUAACUCCGUGCCAGCCGCCGCGGUAAUAC